Molecule: ribosomal RNA, 1059 nt
Filed under: Snodgrassella alvi
Lineage: Bacteria; Pseudomonadati; Pseudomonadota; Betaproteobacteria; Neisseriales; Neisseriaceae
Description: bacterial SSU rRNA
Rfam family: Bacterial small subunit ribosomal RNA
Source: RNAcentral
UGUCUGAAGAAGGCCUUCGGGUUGUAAAGGACUUUUGUUAGGGAAGAAAAGCCGGGUGCUAAUACCACCUGGUGCUGACGGUACCUAAAGAAUAAGCACCGGCUAACUACGUGCCAGCAGCCGCGGUAAUACGUAGGGUGCGAGCGUUAAUCGGAAUUACUGGGCGUAAAGCGAGCGCAGACGGUUAAUUAAGUCAGAUGUGAAAUCCCCGAGCUCAACUUGGGACGUGCAUUUGAAACUGGUUAACUAGAGUGUGUCAGAGGGAGGUAGAAUUCCACGUGUAGCAGUGAAAUGCGUAGAGAUGUGGAGGAAUACCGAUGGCGAAGGCAGCCUCCUGGGAUAACACUGACGUUCAUGCUCGAAAGCGUGGGUAGCAAACAGGAUUAGAUACCCUGGUAGUCCACGCCCUAAACGAUGACAAUUAGCUGUUGGGACACUAGAUGUCUUAGUAGCGAAGCUAACGCGUGAAAUUGUCCGCCUGGGGAGUACGGUCGCAAGAUUAAAACUCAAAGGAAUUGACGGGGACCCGCACAAGCGGUGGAUGAUGUGGAUUAAUUCGAUGCAACGCGAAGAACCUUACCUGGUCUUGACAUGUACGGAAUCUCUUAGAGAUAGGAGAGUGCCUUCGGGAGCCGUAACACAGGUGCUGCAUGGCUGUCGUCAGCUCGUGUCGUGAGAUGUUGGGUUAAGUCCCGCAACGAGCGCAACCCUUGUCAUUAGUUGCCAUCAUUAAGUUGGGCACUCUAAUGAGACUGCCGGUGACAAACCGGAGGAAGGUGGGGAUGACGUCAAGUCCUCAUGGCCCUUAUGACCAGGGCUUCACACGUCAUACAAUGGUCGGUACAGAGGGUAGCGAAGCCGCGAGGUGAAGCCAAUCUCAGAAAGCCGAUCGUAGUCCGGAUUGCACUCUGCAACUCGAGUGCAUGAAGUCGGAAUCGCUAGUAAUCGCAGGUCAGCAUACUGCGGUGAAUACGUUCCCGGGUCUUGUACACACCGCCCGUCACACCAUGGGAGUGGGGGAUACCAGAAUUGGGUAGACUAACCGCAAGGAGGUCGCUU